UCCUCUCGCCAAUCUCUCUGUCUCGUCAAUCUCAUCUCCAGUUCCAUUGGUGGUUUCUGCUUUCUUCGAAUUCAAACACAACCGAGAUUUCCUACCCCUCAAAAUCCUCGGAAUUUUCUCGGACAGGCCGAGAAAGUUGCCGUUGAGGUUCUCGUUUAAGAAUUCGACUGAAAAAGGGGGUUUCAUCGUGAUUGGGGGAUGACAGACCAGAAAAUGGGAAGAUUUUCAGAGAGGAAACAGAGGGUUUGAGAGAGGAACUGGGGGAGGAAACACAGCAAGUGCCGCCGUCGUUCUCGCGACGAACGCUCUUGCCCUGAAGAAAGCUGCAGUUUUUGGCCUAAUUAAUAUUUAUAUAAUUAAAUUAAUUAAUUAAUAUUAAUCUAUACUUAAAAGAAAAUUAAUCAAGUCAAUUCAGGAAAGUUAUAAUGCGUCCAAUGAACGCAUGCCACGUGUUUCGAGUUCAAGUCGGCUUCCGCCAACGAGAAGACGCGUAAAUAAUUAUGGAAACAAAACUGAAGCAAAUACGCCUGAACAGACGGUAACAAAGGGGACAAAAAUCAGUCUUUUAAAACUUCAGCAUUUCUGUCGACAUCCACAAUAUAUAAUAGCUCGUCUUCUUCGUAUUUUCUAAUUCUUUAUUUCACUGUGAUAAUAUCAUUAUCUACUGCGUAUAGGGUAUGAUCAGCAGUUGAUGCUCACAAAAAUGAAAAAGAGACAGCCUUUCAUAAAGACCUGUUGCAUUCUCUGGUUAUAACAGAUGACGCUUCCACAAUUGAUGGUGAAGUUGGGAAGAAAUUGAACCUCAUGGUUCCUGUUCCUGUUCCUCAGGUUGGUGUUCUUCUCUUUCGCUGUUGUAGGAUUGCUGUAGUAGGCAAAACCAGAUGAGUGUUGCGAUUCUGGCUUUCUUCCGUGGUUUGAGCGUCAUUGAGCGUGUUUAAUGGUUGAUAGAUUAAUGUUGACUGAAGUUUUCAAGUUUUCUUUUACAAUAUCCUUGCAUUGAUUUGUAUAUCAAAUAUGCUGAUCUAUAUACGAUCCAUCCAUUAUCCGCAGUAUGCAUUAUGUACAAACCAAGGAGCUGCUCCUUGGAUGUAUGUAAACAAAGCUGGCUAACCACGCUCCAGAUUAGAUUCAUAGCCACAUCGCCCGUAUGCCUCACCUAAGCCACUUCUUAAAUGUGGGUGCUGCUCAAUAGCGUUCUUAAAAGCAUACCCAUGAAUUUCUUUGAUCAAACUCAGUGCCGCUAUGUUCUCACAAGCCAACAGCAAAGCAAGAAGCGUUAUCAAAUUAGGUCUCAAACCCCACUUUUCCAAUUCUCCUGUAGAUGAGAAAACUUUGCAAAUAGUUCAAGAAAAAGUUAACAAAUGAGGUGGUAGAAAGUGAAAACUUCAACAUCUCUGCAAAAUGAAGAAUGAUGGAAAGAGCUGGAAUCAUUUGAAUGUAAAGAAGAUGUUAAAUUUAAUGAUUUUUUCUGUUGAGUUUAAAUUCAAAAAAAGGAAAUCCACCGUAAAGUUGUUUUACGGAAGGACACGUAAAAUUCUAUGGGAUGUGUAUGCAUGAUUUUCGGUCGAUUUGAUUUGAUCGGUUGGUUGAUGUAAUCUGUUUAAAUUUGUAUUUUUAUAUAUAUAUGCUGAAAUAAAAAGAAGAGAUUACUUCUUCUCUCCAAAAGAAAGGGCACGCCUCUUCAAAACAGCAAAACAGAGGCAGUUGCAUAAGCUUGCUCUGUUUUGCUGCCCUCUCUCUCCUCAACUUUCUCUCUCUAAGUUUCCUUAUUCACAGAGCCUCCUUUGAAGCUUAUUCGCUUUCGAUCAACAAGUGGUAUCAGAGCUAGGUUAUCUUAAGGGACCGGUAAACCAAUAUACCCUCAAAAAAUCCAAUGACAUCCACUAGAACAACACCCCCUCCAUACUUCAAUGGAGAAAACUACCAUGUAUGGGCAAUCAAAAUGAGAGCCCAUCUGAAAGCCUUAAGUCUGUGGGAUGUUAUUCUGGAUGACAGUGAUCCUCCUCCACCAGGGGACACUGCCACUAUAAACCAAAUCAGAAGGCACGAGGAAGAUAAAGCCAAGAAACCAAAGGCAAUUGCUUGCCUUUUCUCGGCCGUUUCGGAUAGGGUAUUUUCAAGGAUUAUGAACUUCGAAUCACCAAAGGCUGCCUGGGAGAAACUUAAGGAAGAGUUCGAUAGGGGAGUCAGAAGUAGGAAGGUAAAAAUCUUGAGAUUGAAGAGUGAGUUUGCAUUACUCAGAAUGCAGGAAAAUGAAUCAGUGAAGGAAUAUGCAUCCAAACUCUCGGACGUGGUAAACAAAAUGAGACUGCUUGGGGAGGAUUUUCUGGAAUCAAGGGUAGUAGAGCAAAUUCUUAUCAGCUUGCCCCCCAAAUUCGCGUCUAAAAUCUCAGCUUUGGAGGAGGUUGCAGACAUUGAGACUAUCUCCUCGACUGAGCUGAUAAACAAGCUUCAAUCCAGUGAGCAACGGGUAAAUAUACAUGUUCGACAACAUACAGAGGGAGCCUUAAUUUCAACUCAGAACAAAGGCAGCUCUUCAACACAGAUUCAAGGAAGAAGGAGUGAAUGGAAUCAAACUGGAAACCAAAAUCCCAGUAAACAAAAGAAAUAUUCUGAGUGCAGUAUCUGUUCCUUAACAAAUCACUCAGAAAAUGAGUGCUGGUACAAGGGAAAGAAAACCGUUCAGUGCAAUUUUUACAAAAGGCUUGGUCACAAGGAAAAAUUCUGUAGAUAGAAACAGAAGCAGGAAGGAUCACGACCAAAGUAGGAACAACUGUAAGCCAAUAUCACCAAGGUGUCCUGUGAGCCAAGUGACACAAUUCUCGUUGCGCUAAGUAAGCCGCAAGUGGAGGAUGAUACUCUCUGGGUGGUGGACAGUGGAUGCACCUCCCACAUGUGCAAGGAUGAGGACUUAUUCGUAUCACUUGACAGAACAAUCACAGGCCAGGUCCGACUUGGAAAUGGUAUGCUAGAAACCAUCAAGGGCAAAGGCAACAUAGCCAUUGAAACCAAGGAAUGUAGGAAACUUAUCACUGAUGUAAAUUUUAUUCCUACCCUCUCACAGAAUCUUCUCAGUGUGAAUCAGAUGACUGAUCGAGGCUACUCGGUGGGAUUCAAUGAUAACUGCUACAGGAUAUAUGAUCCUGAGGAUCGCUUGAUUGCUUUCAUCCAAAAGAAGAAUCAAGUCUACUCCUUGAAACUCAGAGAAGUAGUUGAGAGGGUCAGUGUUGCCUCUGUAACUGAAGGUGAGAUUUGGCACAGGUGCCUUGGGCAUUUUCAUGCGGCUGGGCUACAACAAUUGCAGAAGGGAAGUCUAACCAAGGACUUUCCAAAUAUUGUAGUCACUGAGACAGUAUGUGGUGCAUGUCAGAUGGGGAAAUUGGCAAGGAAUUCAUUUCCUUCGCAAGCAGAUUAGAGAGCAAAAGAGAAGCUGGCACUUAUCCAUUAUGACAUUUGUGGUCCAAUGACAGAAAACUCCAUGAGUGGUUGCAGGUAUUUUGGCUUGUUUAUAGAUGAUUUUUCCAGGAUGAUUUGGGUUUGUUUCCUGCAGAAUAAAGCUCAAAUUUUAGGUGAAUUUAAGAAGUUCAAGGCUAUUGUAGAGAAUGAAAGUGGCAGUGUAUUGAGGUGCCUAAGGACAGAUAAUGGGCUUGAAUUCAAUUUCAGCCAAUUCAAUGAUUUCUGUUCUGAGAAUGGGAUCAAAAGACAGCUCACGGCACCAUAUUCUCCUCAACAAAAUGGUGUCUCGGAGAGGAAGAACAGAACCAUUGUGGAAAUGGCAAGAAGCAUGCUUGCUGACAAGCACCUGCCUAAAGCCUUGUGGGCUGAGGGAGUGAACACUGCUGUGUUCCUGCUCAACAUGCUGCCUACAAAGGCUGUAAAGCAGAUGACACCGGCGGAGGCUUGGAGUGGCAUCAAACCAUCAACUAAGUAUCUAAAGGUGUUUGGAUCCGUGUGCUACUGCCAUGUCUCGGAUGACAGGAGAUCCAAGCUAGAAAUGAAGACUGAAUUGGGAGUAUUUUUAGGAUACAGUACUGAAGCAAAAGCAUAUAGAAUUCUAAACCUGAAAACCAACAAGCUUAUGAUUCGAAGAAAUGUAACGGUGGAUGAAAACAGCUACUGGAAUUGGGAAAAGCAGAAAGUCGAACGAGACUGUGUCACAGUUGAAGAAGGAAAGAAAUCAAUGACAGUCAAACCCAACUCAGAGUGAUGAAGAAGACGAAUAAGAUGAAGAAGGUGAAGCAGAAGAGAGAAUAAAAAUAAAAAGUCUAAUUGACAUCAAUGAGAGGUGCAGCUUUGCCUCAAAAGAACCUUCCUCUGUUGAGGAAGCACUUCAGCAGCAAGAGUGGAGACUUGCCAUGGAAGAGGAAAUCAGGAUGAUCGACAAAAAUAAUACUUGGUCUCUGGUAAAAUCAAGUACAAACAAAAAACCUAUUGGAGUAAAGUAGGUGUUCAAAGUGAAACUCAAUCCGGACGGGACAACAAACAAGCACAAGCACGGCUUGUGGCAAAAGGGUACUCCCAGCUUUCAGGAAUCGACUACACAAAGACCUUUGCUCCUGUGGCCAGAUAUGAAACAAUUAGACUCAUUCUAGUCAUGGCAGCUCAGUUUAGUUGGAGUGUGAUGCAUUUGGAUGUAAAAUCGGCCUUCUUGAAUGGCAAGCUGAAUGAAGAAAUUUAUGUUGAGCAGCCACUGGGGUUCAUUCAACCUGGAAAGGAGAGACACGUCUAUCUUCUUCACAAGGCCCUAUACGGCCUCAAACAGGCUCCACAAGUCUGGUAUGAUAAGUUAAAUACAUACUUACUCCACUGUGAGUUUGAGAGGAGCAUGACAGAAAAUACACUGUAUGUGAAUAGAGAUGAAGACAGUCUUAUCACUGCAGUAUAUAUUGAUGAUAUACUGGUGACAGGCAGCAACAAAAGGAAAAUGAUAGAGUUCAAGCUAAAAUUGGAAAAGGAAUUUGAGUAUGUAGCCGCAGCUACAGCAACUAACCAAGCAAUUUGGUUGAAGAAGGUGUUCAAUGAUGUAAAGCUGAACAAACAAACACCUACAGUGUUAUAUGUAGACAACAAGUCUGCAAUUGCCAUUGCGAAAAAUCCUGUAAUGCACGGGAGAACUAAACACAUCAACGUUAAGUAUCAUGCUAUACGUGAGGCUGAGAGGAAUCAAGAAAUAAAGCUGAUACAUUGCUCCACUGAUGAUCAGCUUGCAGACAUUCUAACCAAGGUCGUGUCUAAAGCUAAAUUUGAGGAAUUGUGGAAAAAUGUGGGGAUUGGUGAAAAAAGUCAUUAGGGGGGGAGUGUUAAAUUUAAUGAUUUUUUCUAUUGAAUUUAAAUUCAAAAAAAGAAAAUCCACCGUGAAGUUGUUUUACGGAAGGAUACGUAAAAUUUCAUGCGAUGUGUAUGCAUGAUUUUCGGUUGAUCUGAUUUGAUCGGUUGGUUGAUGUAAUCUAUUUAAAUUUAUAUUUCUAUAUAUAUAUGCUGAAAUAAAAAGAAGAGAUUACUUCUUCUCUCCAAAACAGAGGCAAUUGCAUAAGCUUGCUCUGUUUUGCUGCCCUCUCUCUCCUCAACUUUGAAGGUUAUUCGCUUUCGAUCAAUAGAAGAAAUGAAAAACACUUUGGGGGAAAUAGUAAAAAAAAAUAAAGCGGAGGAAACAUAUGCAAAAUAAGUCUCCUUUAAAAAGAAAAAAUUAAAAAGAAAAGAGAACAGGAUUUAAAGUUGAUGCUGUUACAUAAGAAAAAAAUAAACGAACAAACAAACAAAGAACUGCUGUGUUUUUAAAGAAGAUACAACUUUCUAUAUGCGUAAUCAUCUUAGAAGGCUUUCUUGACGAGAACAUAUAUCAAAAUAAAGCAAGGCAAAGAAAGAUUGAAGCAAGAUUCCACAAACAUUUCUUACCCUUUCUCCUGCUCAACUGCAAAUGUUUCUGUCCUUUAUUCUUCUGCUUUUACGGCAACCAAACACCAGUUUUACACAUUCUUGGGUCUCAUCACGUCAUUCUUUUUUGGAGAAGCAUGAGAGCUAUGAUGUGAAUCUAUAUUUUGCAUGAGUGGCUAUGGGGAUAGAGGAGGAGGGAGAGGGAGUCCUACAAAGAGCCCAAAAGAACGGAGCUUUAGCAAGGUUCCCUCUUCAUCUCCUCCUCUGUCUCCUAGCCUCUCAUGGGAGCAUAUCCAAAGAAAAAACUACAAGGAGGAGUUUUAAGUUAACGGGUUUGAAGGUAUAUAUAGAGAGAGGAUAGACGGUAAUAUUUUGCAUGAGUGGCUAUGGGGAUAGAGGAGGAGGAAGAGGGAGUCCUACGAAGAAGAACCCAAACGAGGGACUUUAGCAAGAUUCCCUUCUUCCUCCCUCUCUAUCUCCUAGCCUCUCAUGGGAGGAGAUCAAAAGAAAAAAAAAAAUUACAGGGAUGAAGUUUAAGUUAAGGGGUUUGUAUGUUCAUGUACAGGGAUGANNNNNNNNNNNNNNNNNNNNNNNNNNNNNNNNNNNNNNNNNNNNNNNNNNNUUCGCUAUGAAAUAGGUUUCUUUGUGAAACUGAGCGAUCUGGAUUUCCUCCGUGGUUUGAGGAUCACUGAGCGGGUUUAAUGGUAGAUAGAUUAAUCUUGAGUGAAGUUUUCAAGGUUUCUUUUACAAUAUCCUUGCGUUGAUUUGUGAUGAUGAAAUCUCUGUGCUUUGAUUUUAAUUCAUUAGUGGCCUUUUUCGAAUCUUGCCUCACAAUCAAGGAUUGAAAUUCCAUCUCUCCAUUCUUGGGUAAAGAUUUCAAGUUUGAGCGUGAUUGGUCGGGUUUAAUGGGUAAAAAAAGUUAAUCAGAAAUUGCCUCACAAUCAAGCGUUGAAUGGUUUUGUGUUCUUCUUUUAACGUAGUUCGAGUUUUCAAGCUAUUUCUUUUAUUAUUUUAUUCGAAAUCACUCUGUGAUGAUGGAAUCCCUGCAUUUCAAUUUGAAUUUAUUAGUUAGAUUUUUUGAAUCUUGUAACUCAAAAUGGCCAGGUAAUAUACACUUAAACAAACAUUCGUCAAAACCUUUGUAAAUAAUUAGGAAUUUGUUUUAACACAGAAUGAGGUGUAAAUAAUUUUCUCCAUCAAGUGUUGUUUACGAUUGAUUUGUUUUGUAAAUCUUUUGUGAAAAGAACGUUUUAUGAAUGUUCAAUAUAUAUAUAUAUAUAUAUAUAUAUAUAUAUAUUUUAGUUUCUGAACAGUAGUUGAUGUUAGAAAUAUUUUUUGUUUAUUACGAUAUUCAGAUUGCAGUUGUAUGAUUUCAUUGAGAAUAAGAUUCAAAGAGAUUGGAGUUAUCAGGUUAGUUCUUUUUUCUGAUAUGAUUAUCAUAAAUAAUACUCAACGUUAAUAUAAAGAAUUUGUUGGAUUUUUAAGUAUAAAGGAACUUACCCACAAACCAAGGCCACCUCCCAGGGAGGAUCAGGUGCUUCUUUUCCUCUCUCUCCUCUCGCUUAUCUCUCUGUCUCGCCAAUCUCAUCCCCAGUUCCAUUGUCGGUUUCUCCUUUCUUCGAAUUCAAACAAAAGCGAGAUUUCCUAUCCCUCAAAAUCCUCGGAAUUUUCUCGGACAAGCCGAGAAAGUUGCCGUUGAGCUUCUCGUUUAAGAAUUCGACUGAAAAAGGGGGUUUCAUUGUGAUUGGGGGAUGACAGACGAGAAAAUGGGAAGAUUUUCAGAGAGGAAACAGAGGGUUUGAGAGAGGAACUGGGAGAGGAAACACAGCAAGUGCCGCCGUCGUUCUCGCGGUCCUGAAGAAAGCUGCAGUUCUUGUCCUAAUUAAUAU
Molecule: long non-coding RNA, 7763 nt
Filed under: Carica papaya (papaya)
Lineage: Eukaryota; Viridiplantae; Streptophyta; Magnoliopsida; Brassicales; Caricaceae
Description: long non-coding RNA (CPAP_LNC002902)
Source: RNAcentral